This 343-nucleotide ribosomal RNA is filed under the name uncultured Pseudomonadota bacterium. RNAcentral describes it as "bacterial SSU rRNA". It matches the Rfam family "Bacterial small subunit ribosomal RNA", at positions 29 to 351 of the family's 1533-position model. The record is from RNAcentral. Lineage: Bacteria; Pseudomonadati; Pseudomonadota.
AAUGAACGCUGGCGGCGUGCUUAACACAUGCAAGUCGAACGAGAAAGCCUGAUUUCGGUUGGGCGAGUAAAGUGGCGCACGGGUGAGUAACGCGUGGGUAACCUACCCCUGAAACUGGAAUAACCCGCCGAAAGGCGGACUAAUACCGGAUAUUGUUCCAGAGGCGCAUGUCUUUGGGAUGAAAGGUGACCUCUUCAUGAAAGUUGCCGUUCGGGGAGGGGCUCGCGUACCAUUAGCUUGUUGGUAGGGUAAUGGCCUACCAAGGCGACGAUGGUUAGCUGGUCUGAGAGGAUGAUCAGCCACACUGGAACUGGAACACGGUCCAGACUCCUACGGGAGGCAG